Molecule: ribosomal RNA, 496 nt
Filed under: uncultured bacterium
Lineage: Bacteria
Description: partial 16S ribosomal RNA
Rfam family: Bacterial small subunit ribosomal RNA
Source: RNAcentral
GAUGAACGCUGGCGGCGUGCCUAAUACAUGCAAGUCGAGCGAACAGACGAGGAGCUUGCUCCUCUGACGUUAGCGGCGGACGGGUGAGUAACACGUGGAUAACCUACCUAUAAGACUGGGAUAACUUCGGGAAACCGGAGCUAAUACCGGAUAAUAUAUUGAACCGCAUGGUUCAAUAGUGAAAGACGGUUUUGCUGUCACUUAUAGAUGGACCCGCGCUGCAUUAGCUAGUUGGUAAGGUAACGGCUUACCAAGGCAACGAUGCGUAGCCGACCUGAGAGGGUGAUCGGCCAAACGGGAACUGAGACACGGUCCAGACUCCAACGGGAGGCAGCAGGAGGGAAUCUUCCGCAAUGGGCGAAAGCCUGACGGAGCAACGCCGCGUGGGGGAUGAAGGUCUUCGGAUCGUAAAACUCUGUUAUUAGGGAAGAAAAAAUGUGUAAGUAACUAUGCACGUCUUGACGGUACCUAAUCAGAAAGCCACGGCUAACUACGU